This is a long non-coding RNA of Sarcophilus harrisii (Tasmanian devil), 1116 nucleotides long. RefSeq lists it as uncharacterized. NCBI's taxonomy places the organism in Eukaryota, Metazoa, Chordata, Mammalia, Dasyuromorphia, Dasyuridae. The record is from RefSeq and is a predicted model, not a curated record. The transcript has 3 exons.
CAGAGCAGGAAAAAGAAUGUCAGUGUGGAGCUGGUGGAGCAGAGAGAGCAUAACCAGGAAGUUGGCAUGGCUGCCAGGGUCCCUUGGCAAGGAAGUGUGUUAAAAGCUAAAGAGAUCUUGUAUCUCUGCCUCCUUCUCCUACCACCACAAAAAUUCCCGUCUCCAAAGGGGCUUGUCAUAUGCCAAGUGGUGCUUAGGAGAGCAGCUGGAACCCCAAUCAGGACCAGGGUGAGAAAGCUAGAGAAGAGAUCCCAAGAAGCAUACUCAAGAUGAUAAACUUCUACAGAUGGUGUGUGUCCGUGGUGGUGUGUCUGCUGCUGCUGUUGGCAGGCUGGGGGGCCUGUGCAAAAAUGCAGAUUCCAGACUAUCCAGGGGAAGAUGCUAGCAUCGAGCAGAUGGAAGACUUCCUGUUGAAGCUGGGCCAGGAGUUGGAGGCUAUCGGCAUGUCCCCUUACCGAAAGAGGAGACGCUAAGAGAUCUGGCAUCAUCUCCCCAGACAAUGGCUCUGAAUUCUAUCCCCUUUCAGAGGACCAAGAUUUUAAAGUGAGAUGAAUCAAGUGGGUCCCAAAGGCUGGGAAAUGUAUGGGGCUUGGGAUGAGCCGUGGGGGAGGGGAGGAGGGAAGAGGUUUAGGAGGACGGAGAUCCUUACAAACUGCAGAAUAUAGAUUGAAUUAGAAUGUUAGAGGAGGUUGGGGGUGGGGUGGGGAGUGAGAUGCCACUUGAAUUCUCCUCGGGCUUCUGAGGCUCCUGAUGGACACUAUUUACUAUAUAGGCUUCCCAGAAUAUCAUAACAAGUGACAAUGUCCUCCUCUCCCCCCCAAAUCCCUGCACCCCACCAUAUACACAUAUACACGUGCACACACAACUUGUUCAUUUCAAAUAAUUUCCAUCCUUCCCUGGUCUUCCCCAAAGUUUUUUUUUGAUACAAAAUAUAGCUUUCUGAAAACAGUACUAGAGAGAGAGUCCAGAGGUGUUUAUCUAGCACCUUCAAACCAUCCUUGGCAAAGCACAUUUAUUACCCAGGUCUCUGACUUUCUAAUCUGUAAAAUGGGGAUGUUAGUAUUUGUACCAACUUCUACACAAGAUUGUUGUGGGGGAGAUGCUUUAUAAAUCUUA